GUGCCUACUGAGCUGAAACGCA
This 22-nucleotide microRNA is filed under the name Ornithorhynchus anatinus (platypus). RNAcentral describes it as "Oan-Mir-24-P3_5p* (star (passenger))". The record is from RNAcentral. Lineage: Eukaryota; Metazoa; Chordata; Mammalia; Monotremata; Ornithorhynchidae.